GGUAAAGUGGCUGAAUAGGUAUUGAGUUGUAGCCUCAACCAUGAAGGUUUAAUCCUUUUUUUACCA
Molecule: transfer RNA, 66 nt
Filed under: Plethodon meridianus (South Mountain gray-cheeked salamander)
Lineage: Eukaryota; Metazoa; Chordata; Amphibia; Caudata; Plethodontidae
Also listed under: 2 other names
Description: tRNA-Tyr
Rfam family: tRNA
About the family: Transfer RNA (tRNA) molecules are approximately 80 nucleotides in length. Their secondary structure includes four short double-helical elements and three loops (D, anti-codon, and T loops). Further hydrogen bonds mediate the characteristic L-shaped molecular structure. tRNAs have two regions of fundamental functional importance: the anti-codon, which is responsible for specific mRNA codon recognition, and the 3' end, to which the tRNAs corresponding amino acid is attached (by aminoacyl-tRNA synthetases). tRNAs cope with the degeneracy of the genetic code in two manners: having more than one tRNA (with a specific anti-codon) for a particular amino acid; and 'wobble' base-pairing, i.e. permitting non-standard base-pairing at the 3rd anti-codon position.
Source: RNAcentral